This 873-nucleotide ribosomal RNA is filed under the name Triticum aestivum (bread wheat). RNAcentral describes it as "partial small subunit ribosomal RNA". Lineage: Eukaryota; Viridiplantae; Streptophyta; Magnoliopsida; Poales; Poaceae. The record is from RNAcentral.
AUGGCCAAGGACAUCGAGGCGGCGCCCCCCGGCGGGGAGUACGGGGCCAAGGACUACUCCGACCCACCGCCGGCGCCGCUCUUCGACGCCGAGGAGCUGACCAAGUGGUCCCUGUACCGCGCGGUCAUCGCCGAGUUCGUGGCCACGCUGCUCUUCCUCUACAUCACCGUGGCCACCGUCAUCGGGUACAAGCACCAGGCGGACCCCGCCGGCCCCAAUGCUGCCGACGCGGCCUGCAGCGGCGUCGGCAUCCUCGGCAUCGCCUGGGCGUUCGGCGGCAUGAUCUUCGUGCUCGUCUACUGCACCGCCGGCGUCUCGGGUGGCCACAUCAACCCGGCGGUGACGUUCGGGCUGUUCCUGGCGCGUAAGGUGUCGCUGGUGCGCGCGCUGCUCUACAUCAUCGCGCAGUGCCUGGGCGCCAUCUGCGGAGUGGGGCUCGUCAAGGGGUUCCAGAGCGCCUUCUACGUGCGCUAUGGCGGCGGCGCCAACGAGCUCAGCUCCGGCUACUCCAAGGGCACCGGCCUCGCCGCCGAGAUCAUCGGCACCUUCGUACUCGUCUACACCGUCUUCUCCGCCACCGACCCCAAGCGCAGCGCCCGUGACUCCCACGUCCCGGUGCUGGCUCCUCUGCCGAUCGGCUUCGCGGUGUUCAUGGUGCACUUGGCCACUAUCCCGAUCACCGGCACCGGCAUCAACCCAGCAAGGAGCUUUGGAGCUGCCGUGAUCUACAACAACGAGAAGGCCUGGGAUGACCACUGGAUCUUCUGGGUGGGGCCAUUCAUCGGGGCCGCCAUCGCAGCCGCCUACCACCAGUACGUCCUGAGGGCCAGCGCCACCAAGCUCGGCCCGUCUGCCUCCUUCGGCAGGAGCUAG